Molecule: ribosomal RNA, 481 nt
Filed under: Salmonella enterica subsp. enterica serovar Derby
Lineage: Bacteria; Pseudomonadati; Pseudomonadota; Gammaproteobacteria; Enterobacterales; Enterobacteriaceae
Rfam family: Bacterial large subunit ribosomal RNA
Source: RNAcentral
GGGGAUAACAGGCUGAUACCGCCCAAGAGUUCAUAUCGACGGCGGUGUUUGGCACCUCGAUGUCGGCUCAUCACAUCCUGGGGCUGAAGUAGGUCCCAAGGGUAUGGCUGUUCGCCAUUUAAAGUGGUACGCGAGCUGGGUUUAGAACGUCGUGAGACAGUUCGGUCCCUAUCUGCCGUGGGCGCUGGAGAACUGAGGGGGGCUGCUCCUAGUACGAGAGGACCGGAGUGGACGCAUCACUGGUGUUCGGGUUGUCAUGCCAAUGGCACUGCCCGGUAGCUAAAUGCGGAAGAGAUAAGUGCUGAAAGCAUCUAAGCACGAAACUUGCCCCGAGAUGAGUUCUCCCUGAGACUUUAAGUCUCCUGAAGGAACGUUGAAGACGACGACGUUGAUAGGCCGGGUGUGUAAGCGCAGCGAUGCGUUGAGCUAACCGGUACUAAUGAACCGUGAGGCUUAACCUUACAACGCCGAAGAUGUUUUG